RNAcentral lists this long non-coding RNA (1290 nucleotides) under Penaeus japonicus. Its description in RNAcentral is "uncharacterized LOC122258441". Lineage: Eukaryota; Metazoa; Arthropoda; Malacostraca; Decapoda; Penaeidae. The record is from RNAcentral.
UAGUCGUAAUAAUAAUAAAAGUAAUGAUGUUGAUUAUGAUAUUAUUAAAUACAUGUUGCAUAAUUUUUUCUUUCAUUUUUACAUGUUAUUUACUACUGAUUAUUGACAUAAUGUUAAGCUGGUUUGGGUAACAAUAGAUAAUAUUGCGUAAGCAUAGCCUCACCUAUAAGAUUUGAAAUGUAUUGAUAGUUUAUAAAUAAUUAAAUUGGAAUUUGUCCAUUACCCCUUACUACAAUAAUUAGAAAUCUCUGUAAUCAUGUAUAUAAAUAUAUAGAUAUAUAUAUUUUUAUGAUGAGCAUAGGCAAACAUAUUAAAGAAAACUGAAAAUGUACAAAUGUGGUGAUCUAAUAAAUUCAACGUUUCAGGUGAGCGGGAUGAACCCAAUGUCAUCAGUGCAUGGAGAUCAAAGACCAACAAGGUGAGCGGAAUGAACCCAAUGUCAUGGAGAGCAAGAGCCAACAAGGUAAUGUUUAAAUAAAUGUUACAGUAAGAGACACUGUGGAUAUAGCAAGAGAUGAAGGAAAAGGAAUGUUUUUUUUUUAUGUUAUUUCUUAUUUUAGUUUUGUAAUUUAUUAAAUGGAAAUAUAGAUACUGAAUGUACCUUUAUAGACAGUGGAUUCAGUUAUUAUUAAGGGAUUUAAAGGCCUCUUUUGUUUUAAGUACUACUUGUAUAUCAUGUUAUGAAAAAAAAAGAAGUGUCAAAGCCAGUUUGGAUUAAUUCAUAUCUAUAUAACUAUCUAUUUAAACCAUUUUUAUGUCUAUUGGUUUCUUGCAUCCUGUGUGCUUAAUAUACAAUGCUAAACUAUUGUUUGUUUAAUCAGUAAAUAUAAUAUUUUGCUGUUUUCUUAGAACUGUAAACUUGACAAACAAACAUUUCCAUUACACGCUGUUUUACACUCUAUUAUGAAGGGAUGCAUGACAACUUUGUCAACCUUUUUAAAACUUCUAAUGCUUUGUGAUGCAUUUGAUUUUCUGUGCACUUUGAAUUUGAUUGUUGUUUUAUAGUGCAUUCUAAACUCUUUGGAUCUUAUUAACUAGCUCCUUGACAUUUGUUAAUAUUAUUUGUUUAUAAAAAUAAAGAGAUAUGCCAAAAAAUUGUUUUAAUAUCAUUUAACUAUUCUGGUUAUCCUAUAUUUUACUCAUAAACCAUGUUUUAAGCACAAAGAAUGAAACGAUGGAAAAAGGAUAAUAUCUGUUGUAAAAGAGUAAUACAGAUUACAAUAUUCCUAAAUACAAAAUUCAUAUUAUAAUUGAAAAUCUUGGGGAUAUAUAAAUGAAAAGAGAGAGAAA